GCUUUAUCAUGAUGUUCAAGACCAAGAAUCAGAAGCUCCUGGAUGCCUUAAAAAAUAAGCAAUGUUAACAGUGAACUGUGUCCAUUUAAGCUGUAUUCUGCCAUUGCCUUUGAAAGAUCUAUGUUCUCUCAGUAGAAAAAAAAAUACUUAUAAAAUUACAUAUUCUGAAAGAGGAUUCCGAAAGAUGGGACUGGUUGACUCUUCACAUGAUGGAGGUAUGAGGCCUCCGAGAUAGCUGAGGGAAGUUCUUUGCCUGCUGUCAGAGGAGCAGCUAUCUGAUUG
This 282-nucleotide long non-coding RNA is filed under the name Homo sapiens (human). RNAcentral describes it as "non-protein coding lnc-PAQR9-4:2". Lineage: Eukaryota; Metazoa; Chordata; Mammalia; Primates; Hominidae. The record is from RNAcentral.